CCUACGGGUGGCAGCAGUGAGGAAUAUUGGUCAAUGGACGAGAGUCUGAACCAGCCACGUAGCGUGAAGGAUGACUGCCCUCUGGGUUGUAACCUUCUUUUAUAUGGGAAUAAAACAGGGUAUGCAUACCCUCUUGUAUGUACCAUAUGAAUAAGGAUAGGCUAACUCCGUGCCAGCAGCCGCGGUAAUACGGAGGAUCCGAGGGUUAUCCGGAUUUAUGGGGUUUAAAGGGAGCGUAGGUGGAUUUUUAAGUCAGUUGUUAACGUUAGCGGCUCAACCGUAAAAUUGCAGUUGAAACUGUCAGUCGUGAGUACAGUAGAGGUUGGCGGAAUUCGUGGUGUAGCGGUGAAAUGCUUAGAUAUCACGAAGAACUCCGAUUGCGAAGGCAGCUCACUGGACUGCAACUGACACUGAUGCUCGAAAGUGUGGGUAUCAAACAGGAUUAGAUACCCGGGUAGUC
Molecule: ribosomal RNA, 460 nt
Filed under: uncultured bacterium
Lineage: Bacteria
Description: partial 16S ribosomal RNA
Rfam family: Bacterial small subunit ribosomal RNA
Source: RNAcentral